This 305-nucleotide unclassified non-coding RNA is filed under the name plant metagenome. RNAcentral describes it as "partial contains 5.8S ribosomal RNA, internal transcribed spacer 2, and large subunit ribosomal RNA". The stretch from base 1 to 105 matches the Rfam family "5.8S ribosomal RNA", at positions 50 to 154 of the family's 154-position model. The record is from RNAcentral.
GAAAUGCGAUAAUUAGUGUGAAUUGCAGAAUUCAGUGAAUCAUCGAAUCUUUGAACGCACAUUGCGCCCCUUGGUAUUCCAUGGGGCAUGCCUGUUCGAGCGUCAUUUGUACCUUCAAGCUCUGCUUGGUGUUGGGUGUUUGUCUCGCCUCUGCGCGCAGACUCGCCUCAAAACAAUUGGCAGCCGGCGUAUUGAUUUCGGAGCGCAGUACAUCUCGCGCUUUGCACUCAGAACGACGACGUCCAAAAGUACAUUUUUUACACUCUUGACCUCGGAUCAGGUAGGGAUACCCGCUGAACUUAAGC